GCCAGAAGUCACCGGCUGCUGGUGGGGGUCAUGGAGUCCUGUCUGGAGCCUUUGGGGAACCAGGCCACACAUCCAUGAGGGUGUUCGUCAGCUUCCUGUUACUGUAACAAUUACCCG
This 117-nucleotide long non-coding RNA is filed under the name Chinchilla lanigera (long-tailed chinchilla). RNAcentral describes it as "lncRNA (ENSCLAG00000025570.1)". The record is from RNAcentral. Lineage: Eukaryota; Metazoa; Chordata; Mammalia; Rodentia; Chinchillidae.